GGGGCUGUAGCUCAGUGGUAGAGCUCUUGCCUAGCAUGCAAUAGGACCCAGGUUCAAUCCUCACUACUG
This 69-nucleotide transfer RNA is filed under the name Cricetulus griseus (Chinese hamster). It matches the Rfam family "tRNA". Rfam says of the family: Transfer RNA (tRNA) molecules are approximately 80 nucleotides in length. Their secondary structure includes four short double-helical elements and three loops (D, anti-codon, and T loops). Lineage: Eukaryota; Metazoa; Chordata; Mammalia; Rodentia; Cricetidae. The record is from Rfam by way of RNAcentral.